CAGGGUUUAGGUGGUUGGGGGAGGGGGGGGGGCAUGAAAGCUCGUCUUGCCCACCACCUUCUCUAGGACAGCCUCUGAAUUCUAGUGACAGCGUGUCAUUUUGUAAGCAACCCAUUGCUAAGCCAUCCAUAUUAAGUUUAAAACGUCUUCCUUAAAUUCAACUGUAAUUGUCGCCUUGAAACAUGAUGUUUCUGUUCACACGCUGUUCUGAGCCCUGUGGCCACAGAGAUCAAGUCCGGUCCAGUGUUCACUGGGCAGUCCUUGGGCUGUGUGAGGAGUUACAAUACCUUGCCCACUUGACUUUUCAAGUUCAGGAGUUUACUAGGAGAUUAGAAAGCAGGGUAUUCUCAGCUACUUCUAUUAUGCCUCUCCUGCUUGGUGGAUGGAACCAUCAGAUCCCCACACUGUGCUGGCAAAGCAAGUCCCCAGACAUGAAACACGACACCUCUGAAGAUUUUGACUGGAGGAUUGUUACCCAUUAACCCAGGUCCUUUCAGUAUGAUCAGGUGAUGGUUUGGGGGCUUCCUAGUGGCUCAGGCCAUGAAGAAUCCGUCUGCAAUGCGGGAGACCUGGGUUCAGUCCCUGGGUUGGGAAGAUCCCCUGAAGGAGGGCAUGGCAACCCACUCCAAUAUUCUUACCUAGAGAAUCCCCAUGAACAGAGAAGCCUGGCGGGCUAUAGUCCAUGGGGUUGGCAAAGAGUCAAACACAACUGGGUGACUAAGCGCGAACACACAGUCUUUAAUGGCAAACGUAAUUAUAAUAAAAAAUUUGGCUAUUAUUUCUUCAAAUUUUUUUUCUGCUCCCUUAUUUUCCUGUCUUGGACUUUAGUGAUAGGUUUGUUAGACUGCUUAAAUCUUCCAUUCUCUGCAUAUUUAUGGAGCAUAUAAAUGCUCCAUUCUCAGCAUAUUCAUAACAGCUGUUUUAGUGUUCAUAUUUCCUAAUUCCAUCAUAUUUUUCACUUGUGCCAUCAAUCCGCUUUUACUGAUUGACUUUUCUUCUAUUUAGGGAUCACACUUUCCUGCUUCUUUGCAUGUCUAGUAAUUUUUUAUUGGAUGUUGGAUUUUGUUGUAUCAUUUUCAAGAAAGUUGGACUUUGGGAACUCUCUGGUGGUCCUGUGGUUAAGACUCAACCAUCUCACUGUGGGGACCCUGGUCAGGGAACUAAGAUCCUGUAAGCUCUGGAGCACGGUCCAAAAAAAAAAUAAAAUAAAUAAAAAUAAGUUGGACUUUUUUUUUUUUAAUAAUAAGUUGGACUUUGUUCCUUUGUUCUGGCAGGCAGUUAAACUGCUUGCAGAUCAGUUUUUAAGUUUUGUUACAGCAGAUCUAAAGUAGCCUUUACUUUGGAGCUACGUUAGCCUCAUUACUAAGAUGUGCUUUUUUGGAGUAGUCUACAAGGUCUCUUUUUUCUGGCUGGUGGGUACAUGGAUUGAUAGCUCCGUGUGAGCUCUGGGAAUGAACUGGCCAACCACUUCACUAUAACUGUUCUUUUGACGGGCUAUGUGUAGUUUUACCCUAUGUAUGCACAGAUUGGUAUUCAGCCAUGAACAUUUCUGGAGUUCUUUCUCUACAGAGCUGUUUCCUCUGUGGUAAUCUGCCCAGCAAAUUCUAGUCACUUCAGCCUUCCCAAGUUCUGUUCUCUUGUCUCCUCAAUUCAGUAAGACUACUGAGUUACGUUUGGGUUUCUUCUCCCUACACCAUGGUCUUAAAAUUAACCCCUAUGAUAAAUGUUAAAACAGACAAGGGUUUGUUUUUCUUUUCUCAGGAAUCAUAGCCCUGUGCUAGCUAUUGCCCAAUAUCUGAAAACAGCUGUAGUGUAUAUUUUUGUCCACUUUUCUAGUCAUUUUUAGUGGGAGGGUAAUUCCAACUUCCAUUAUUCCCUCACGGACAAAAGCAGAAGGCCGCUACAAUUACAGUGAAAGGUUCAGUACAACUGUUAACUAUUCAGUAUAGCUAUGAGACCCCAGAGUAGUUUAUCUUGCUAAAAAAUUCUGUAGGAAGACUGCCAGCUGAAUGAAUAAUUAAUACAAUUUGUGUUCAAAGCAUGAUCCUUUCCAUUAGGAAAAGAUAAUGCUUGGACAUGACUGGCAAACUAUCUCUAUGGUUACAAUCUCUGGUACACUCCCUGCUUUAUAAAAUGAGUCCCAAUUUGAUUAUGAUACAGAACACUGUUAACAUCCCAGAAAGUUCCCUCUUGCCCCUGCCGAGUCAGUUCACACCUCCACUCCCAGAAGCAAGCACUGAUCUGAAUUCCAUCAUCACAGGUUUGUUUUGCCUAUUUAAGAAUUUUAUAUAAAUGGCAUCAUAUAGUAUAUAACUUUUGUGACCAGCCUCUUCCAUGCAAUAUAAUAUGCAUUGUGUGGAUCUGUACUUUACUCCUCUUUUCGUUGAAUAGAAUUCCAUUGUUUAUCCAUUCUUUUUAUGAAGGACAUCUGAACUGCUUCCAGUUUGGAGUUAAUACAGGUAAAGCUGGUAUAGCAAAUAUUCCUGUAUGAGGAUUUUGGUGAACAUAUUUUUUCAUUUUUCCUAGAUAAAUAUCUAGCAGUGGAAUUGUCAGAUCAUAGGGUAGAUACAUGUUACCUUUCUCCCAUAUUCAUUAAAAAAAUUUUUUAUUGGAGCAUGGUUGAUUUAUAAUGUUGUGUUAGUUUCAGAUGUACAGCAAAGUGAAUCAUAUAUAUUGAUCCGUUCUUUUUCAGAUUCUUUUCCCAUACAGGUUAUUUCAGAAUAUUGAGUAGAGUUCCCUGUACUAUACAGUAGGCUCUUGUCAUCUAUUUUAUAUAUAGUGGUGUGUAUAUGUUAAUCCGUAUCUCCUAAUUUAUUACUUGCCUCAUGUUUCCCCUUUGAUGAACCAUAAAUGUGAUUUCGAGAUCUGUGAGUCUGUUUUGUAAAUAAGUACAUUUGUAUCAUUUUUUACUACAUUCCACAUAUGGCUGAUAUCAUAUGAUAUUUGUCUUUGACUUACUUCACUUAGUAUGAUAAAUCUCUAGGUCCAUCCAUGUUGCUGCAAAUGGCAUUGUUUCAUUCUUUUUUAUGGCUGAGUAAUCAAUCCCUGGGCUGGGAAGAGACCCUGGAAAGGGAAAUGGCGACCCACUCCAGUUUUCUUGCCUGGGAAAUUUCAUGGAUAGACGAGUGUGGCAGGCUACAGUCCAUGGGGUCACAAAACAGUUGGACACAACUGAGUGACUAAACAACAACAACAUUCCAUUGUGUGUAUGUACUACAUCUUCUUUAUCCAUUCCUCUGUUGAUGGACAUCUGGGUUGCUUCCAUGUUCUGACUAUUGUAAACAGUGCUGCAGUGAACACUGGGGAGCAUGUAUCUUUUUAAUUAUGGUUUUUCUCCAGAUAUAUGCCCAGGCAUGGGACUGCUGAACCAUAUGGUAGUUCUAUAUUUAAUUUUUUAAGGAACUGUCAUACUAUUCUCCAAAAUAGUUGUAGCAAUUUACAUUCCCAUCAACAAUGUAAGAGGGUUACCUUUUCUCCAAACCCUCUCCAGCCUUUACUGUUUGUAGAUUUUUCUGAUGAUGGCCAUUAUGACUGAUGUGAGGUGAUACCUCAUGGUAGUUUUGAUUUGCAUUCUCUGAUAAUUAGUGAUGUUGAAUGCCUGUUCAUGUGCCUUUGGCCAUCCAUCUGUCUUAUUUGAAGAAACGUCUAUUUAGAUCUUCUGCCCAUUUUUUGAUUGGGUUGUUUGUUUUCUUGACAUUGAGCUGCAUGAGCUGUUUGUAUAUUUUGGAGAUUAAUCCCUUGUCAGUCUCUUCGCAGAUAUUUUCUCCUAUUCUGUGGCUUGUUUUUUAUUUUAUGGUUUCCUUUGCUAUACAAAAGCUUUUAAGCUUAAUUAGACCCUAUUUGUUUAUUUUUAUUUUCAUUACUCUAGCAGUCGAUCAAAAAAGAUACUGCUGAGAUUUAUGUCAGCGUUCUUCCUACAUUUUCCUCUAAGAGUUUUAUAGUAUCCAGUCUUAUAUUUAGAUCUUUAAUCCAUUUUGAGUUUAUUUUUGGUAUGGUGUUAGGGAGUAUUUUUAAUUUCAUUCUUAAAAAUAUGGAACGCUUCAUAAAUUUGUGUGUUAUCCUUCUGCAGGGGCCAUGCUUAUCUUCUCUGUGUCUUUCUAAUUUUAGUGUAUGUGCUGCUGAAGAGAGUACACAUAAUGCUUUUGAUUAAUUGAAAAAUAUAAGCUAAAAUGAAUAUGAGAUGCAGGAAGGUUGAGAUAACAUCUAUUUUGUGCCAUUGUUUUUACUCUUAUUACUUAGAACAAUGUCUGACUUAAAGCAAGUGCUCAAAAAAUAUUUGUUGAAUAUAUUAAAAAGAACAUCAUAAAAUUUUUAAAAGUGACUUAUACCUAAUAUAAGACCACUGUGUAAUCUCUUCCAAUUCUGCUGUUUUUGCAGAUAAUUUUAUAUACUCAAUUUCACCAUGAUUUUUCUUUAAUAGUAUUGUUCUUGUAUCAGAAUCUUAUUUGUCAAGCCCUACUUCCUUCUCCUAAUGCAAAACAAAAGUAUCAAUUUUAUGAAAUCUUCCUUUUCCAACUUGACUCACUAACAGUUUUAGAGAUAAAAUGGUAGUUUGUUUUUUUCUGUUUUCCUUCCUUGUUCUUAGUAUAUUUACGGAAUUAAAUUAACUGUUGUAUUAUUUACUUUUUAGUCCAAUUCUCAACUUUAUACUCAUUUUUAAGGCUGACACUCAUUAUUUCAAAAUCUGUGGAUUAGCUUGUCUUUAAACUCUCUGUGUAGUUGAUUCAUAGUCUUUUCAACAGUAAAACAAGUUCAUAAGUUGUUGUUGUUGUUGUGCCAUGCAGCAUGUGGGGUAUUAGUUCCCCAACCAAGGACUGAAUCUGUGUGCCCCCACACUGGAAGUUCAGACUCUAAACCACUGGACUUCCAGGGAAUUCCCCCACAGGUAUUUUAAAAUUAGACUUCUGUUUCUAAUUUUAAAGUGACUAAUUUUGUCACUCUAACUUGACUCUCUCAACAGUACUUAUUACAUAAUCUUAAGAAUGAUACAUAUUAAGUGAUUUACAGAAUCAUUAUUAAUGUCUUUCAAUUGGCUUUCUAAAAGAAAGCACAGUAAAUUCUUUUUUAAUUACUUUAAUACUUUCUAGGGAAUUCCCUGGUGGUCCAGUGGUUAAGACUUGGCGCUUUCACUGUUGUGGGCUCAGAUUCAAUCCCUGGUUGAGGGACUAAGAUCCUGCAAGCCAUGGGGCCUGGCCAAAAACAAAAUAAAAGAAAACUUUCUAUAAGUGUAUCAAUACAUGCCCUGUUUUUUGGAAUAAAAAUUCUAUGGUCUUUAUGUUAGAAACAGUUCAGGUUGUUAGAACUAGAAAAAUAACUGGUUAAUAAGUUAAGAGCUACAGCAAAGUAUAAGACUAUGAUCUGUCCACUGAAUAAUGAUUAAAAUAGUACAGUUCUAAAAUUUGAAAGAAAUUUAAGUUAUAUAAGAAAGGUAAUGCUGACUAUUUAUAACCUAAACAAUAUAUGGUUAAAUAUACUAUCAUAAUCCCUGAGACAAUAACUUUUUAACUCCUCUAGUUGGACAAAGGUAUACUAACUAUAAGAUGAUAUGCGUAUUAUUUCAAGAUCUAAAUAUACUCCCUGGAGUUGGGUCACUUAUCAUUUACUAUAUUAAGAACAAGUGAAAUGACAUGAUCAUAAUUUAUCCACCAAAAAACAAACAAAACCUUUUGGUUAGGGUCUAUGAAUUGGAAUCACUUCAUCAAGUAACACACUGUAUGGG
This is a long non-coding RNA of Dama dama (fallow deer), 5719 nucleotides long. RefSeq lists it as uncharacterized. The record is from RefSeq and is a predicted model, not a curated record. NCBI's taxonomy places the organism in Eukaryota, Metazoa, Chordata, Mammalia, Artiodactyla, Cervidae. The transcript is spliced from 3 exons.